GUAAGUAUUAACGUUGAAUACAUAUUUAAAUUCUUACUUUCUUAAACUAAAGCAACUAUAAUCAUCUGUAAUCUCUUUGAAUACUUACAAAUAACAAUGAAAGACCUCAUUUAGAAUGUACAAAAACAUACCAUAUUGGCACUGUAAAAGCACAUUUUUUUAACCAAAUUAUGUUGAAAUAUUUUAUAUCUUCUACUCAAAUAAAGAAGAGUAAUACAUGUCUUAAGUAUUGCUGUUUCAAUAUAAUAAUUAUGGACAUCUCUAAAAAAAAAACAAGUAUUUUUUAGGUAAUAUUUACAACAAAAUGGACUAUGAAAUUGCAUAGGAAUUGGAACAUAUUGCACAACAAAAAAACAAAAUCACAGUCCGGUCAAUUGUACGGCAUUAUUACAUGCAAAUGUAUUAAGUAUUCAUAAAUAUAUAACUUCAUACAAAUGAACAGAGAAAAAAAUAAACACAAAAACUUUUCUUUUACAAACGAUAACGUGAACACUGACAGACAUAAUAUUACAUAACAUGUUUGUCUAAAAUAUAUUAUAAUAUGAAUUUUUAAAGUAAUUAUAAUAAUGAUAAUGCUUAACCGAUAGGGCUGAGAAUUUAAAUAAUCAUAAAAAAAAAAAACCAUUUUACUUGGGCUACUUAACCUAAUUGUAUGUAACAUCAUUUGACAAAACGCAAAAAAAAAUAUUACAUGUUAAAAAAAUUGCUUUAUAGCACCAAAAAACUAAUUUUUUUAAAAAUAUUUAUAAUUUUUUACUAAAAUACUAGCUCACGAGUAGCGGUGCCAUGUAUACAAUAUAUGAUAAUUACGUUUGGAUGCUUAGAAAAAAAAAAGAAAAAAACAAAACAAAAACAAAACAAAAUUAGACUAUUCUUAUCACAAUAAUGCCUGUUAACGACGAUAGUGACGAUAACAUUUAUUCAACAAUAUUAGUAUUAUUAUAUAUUUAUAUAUAAAUGUCAUUGAGAGACAAAGACAAAGGAUACAUUUUCACAAUCGUUUUUUUUUUCUUUUUUUUAUAGUUGUAUUUUAAGCACAAAGAACAUAGUAAUAGUAUAUCAAUUAAACAAAAAUUUAAGUCUUUGUAAAUUAUUGAAAAUGGCAUCAAAUUAUAUGGAAAAGUCUAUAAAAUUAUUUAACACAUGCAAAAACAAUAAAUUAAAAUUAAUACUGAACAAAAAUUAAUCAAAGUCAUUGCGAUUAAAAAAAAA
Molecule: non-coding RNA, 1212 nt
Organism: Cinara cedri
Lineage: Eukaryota; Metazoa; Arthropoda; Insecta; Hemiptera; Aphididae
Source: the annotation of a GenBank genome assembly